Long non-coding RNA from Oncorhynchus keta (chum salmon), 338 nucleotides. RefSeq lists it as uncharacterized. The record is from RefSeq and is a predicted model, not a curated record. Lineage: Eukaryota; Metazoa; Chordata; Actinopteri; Salmoniformes; Salmonidae. The transcript has 3 exons.
GGGGCGUGUGGGGAUCCGUCUGCGACGACCAAUGGGAUGAGAGCGACGUGGAGGUCGUCUGUCGACAGCUGGGCCUGGGGGGUGUAGCACGAGCGUGGGGUCAGGCGUAUUUCGGUGCGGGGUCAGGCAGGGUGUGGCUGGAUGAGGUGCGCUGCACGGGGAACGAGCUGACCCUGGAACAGUGUCCUAAAGCUGCCUGGGGAGAACACAACUGUCUCCACUCUGAAGAUGCAGGGGUCUCCUGUACCCCUCUCACUGAUGGUUCAGUGCGGUUGUCUGGGGAUAGUGGGAGCAGUGAGGGUAGGCUGGAGGUGUUCUAUAGAGGUCAGUGGGGACGG